Molecule: RNA transcript, 1775 nt
Organism: Solanum dulcamara
Lineage: Eukaryota; Viridiplantae; Streptophyta; Magnoliopsida; Solanales; Solanaceae
Gene name: rho GTPase-activating protein 2-like
Exons: 4
Source: RefSeq, a predicted model, not a curated record
ACUUAAUAAUAGUGAUGAUUGGUAAACAACACCUUACCUGAAAGCAGAAAAAAAUUCUGUAGAGAAAAGUGGUAAAACUGAAAUUUAUUCUUCUAUGAAAGGGCAUUCUGGUCAGGAAAAAAUUAUUUGAAACCCAGUGGCCGUUUGAACCUCCCGAAGAAACCUCGAAACAAUCUUCAAUGCAACCAAUUCAACAAUUCCAAACACGGCCUAAAGAAACAGAAACGCAAAGGGGAUUUUGUGGCUGCGCCGGUGGGGGGUGUUUCUUGCGAAAGAAAUUACCGGAGAAUAUAAGAAGAGGGAUGGCGGGGUUGGCGGAGGCGGAGCAAAGCCGGGAGCAUCAGUUGCGUUUGUUGGAUUUUUUAUUAGCGGCUUUGAGGAAAUCUAUGGUGUACUGUCGUUUUGAUCAAAAGGAGGAGGUGAAAUCAACUGUUCAUACUAUGGAAAUCGGUUGGCCUACGAAUGUUCAGCAUCUUACUCAUGUCACUUUCGAUCGCUUUCAUGGGUUUUUGGGUCUUCCUGUUGAGUUUGAAGUUGAAAUCCCUUGUAAAGCACCAAGUGCCAGUGUCAGCGUUUUUGGCAUCUCCGCAGAGUCAAUGCAGUGUUCAUAUGAUACAAGAGGCAACAGUGUCCCGACUAUUCUCUUGUUAAUGAAGGAACGUUUAUACUCACAAGAUGGUCUAAAGGCUGAAGGAAUUUUCCGAAUAAACCCAGAGAAUAGCCAUGAAGAGUAUGUAAGGGACCAGCUCAACAGAGGCAUUGUGCCUGACGACAUAAAUGUCCACUGUUUGGCUGGACUCAUCAAAGCUUGGUUCCGAGAGCUUCCAGCAGGUGUGCUUGAUGGGCUUUCACCUGAGCAGGUAUUGCAAUGCAACACCGAGGAGGAAUUUAUUGAGCUUGUGAAACAGCUUAAGCCAACUGAGACCGCAUUGCUCAAGUGGGCAAUUGAUCUUAUGGCUGACGUUGUUGAGCAAGAGGAAACCAACAAGAUGAAUGCCAGAAACAUUGCUAUGGUUUUUGCCCCAAAUAUGACACAGAUGUCUGAUCCAUUAACGGCACUCAUGCACGCUGUUCAAGUGAUGAACUUACUGAAGACCCUGAUUGUGAAAACACUGCGAGAACGUGGAGAGACAGAAGGCGGAGGAUAUUCACCCAUGUCAUCUAGUUUCUCUGAUAGACAAACUGAGAAGGAAUUUGACGCCCAACAAGAGAUGGAGACUGGAUGUGAAUCAACAGGGCCAGCAUCAGAUGAUGAUGAACAACCUCAUUACAUCUACAACAGUGAAGACAGAGAUGAAAUCGAGUCAUUGAGUGAGAUAGAAGGAAGCUUCCUACAGCAAGUGGAUGAGAAUGAUCAUGCAAAAAAUGACUUCCGGAAACAACUACAAGGAAUUUUGUGUAGCGAACACAAACCCACGAGUGCCUCCACCGUUAAUGAAGAUCCUUCUUCAUCUAGUUGAUAAUAAAAACGGGAGUUCAGGCCUGAGCUCUAGUAACAGUAAAGACUCAAGAGCAACUUCUGUUUCUGUGGGGUUAAAGGUGCAAGCAGAUUAACUGGAGCACAAAUGAUGUCAAUAUAGUAAUGGUAAGUAAGAUGUGAACAUGGUAGAGUUUGCUGUUAUAUGUAGUUAGUUGGUUGUCUCAUCCAAGCUGGUGCGAUUGAAUCUAUUCCGGUGAUGCAUCUUUUAGGAGUUUCUAUAUCAUCAGUGAAUGGUUGUUUUAUGUAAAAAGUUGCUACGCUUAGUCUAGACACAGAAUGAUUUUCAUUUGUUUCA